RNAcentral lists this ribosomal RNA (338 nucleotides) under uncultured Sphingobacteriales bacterium. Its description in RNAcentral is "bacterial SSU rRNA". It matches the Rfam family "Bacterial small subunit ribosomal RNA", at positions 1045 to 1382 of the family's 1533-position model. The record is from RNAcentral. Lineage: Bacteria; Pseudomonadati; Bacteroidota; Sphingobacteriia; Sphingobacteriales.
AUGGUUGUCGUCAGCUCGUGCCGUGAGGUGUCGGGUUAAGUCCCAUAACGAGCGCAACCCUAUCAUUUAGUUGCCAUCAGGUCAAGCUGGGGACUCUAAUGAAACUGCCUACGCAAGUAGUGAGGAAGGUGGGGAUGACGUCAAAUCAGCACGGCCCUUACGUCCAGGGCUACACACGUGCUACAAUGGCCGAUACAGAGGGCAGCUACCUGGUGACAGGAUGCAAAUCUCCAAAGUCGGUCUCAGUUCGGAUCGGAGUCUGCAACCCGACUCCGUGAAGUUGGAUUCGCUAGUAAUCGCGCAUCAGCCAUGGCGCGGUGAAUACGUUCCCGGGCCUU